UUAAAUGACACUUUGCUUAAAUUACAUUUUUAAAUUACAAUUAAAGUACAUCAAACUGGUCCAACAAUGAUAAACAAUUUUCCAUGCAAUUAAGGAUAGUAGUCUACACCAUGUUAUUGUCAAAUGUCCCAACCAGUAAUAUUCCAUUUCUAGUGGAUAAAAUUGCACAAUAUUUUGGAAUUAAUUUUUCUUACAUUCCUCAUCGUAGUACCGUUGAGCAAAUGGCUUGUGAGCUUGGCAGUAUCACUGAUUUGCAAGUAGCAGAAUGGGCCAUCAAUAAUAAUCAUCUCACUCUUGGAUUUGAUGCAACAACGCAAGAAGGUGUUCAUAUAAAACAGCAUUCAUUUAACUUCAAAAAAUCAAUGCCAGGUUGUUGCUAUUGAUCAAUUACCAGGCGGGAAAGCAGUGGAUUAUGCAAAUCAUAUAUGUAAUGUAGUGGAUUAUACUGCCUUAGUUUAUUCAAACUUUCACUUCAACCCUUUGAUGAUUGUAGACGCCUAAUAAUCUCAAAUAUAUCAAACACCAUGUCUGAUAGAGUUUCGGUUAACCAUCUUACAAUCCGAAAAAUUGGUAAGGUCUGGGGUAAAAGUCUAAAUGAGUUAAACUGCCACUUACACCUUCUUGACACAAUUGCUAUUUCAUGUCGAACAGCAUUAAAGUCUUUGGAAAUUGGAAAUUGCCAAUUAUUUGAAAAUGAUUGUGUUGCUGUUAAAAUUGUUUUGGCUAUGAAUAAGAUGAGGUUUAAAGAUGCAAGCGGCGAUCCAAAAUGAUUUGUCAAAUUUUUAAACAAUAACAAAUUACCAAGAGGUAUUAUUCGAAGGUACCGUGGAAACCGUCUACAUAUUCUGUUCCACACUUGUUUUGUUUUUAUAAAACACCACAGUCAAUUUAUGCAAUUUCUGAUUUUCUGAUUUUUUGGAAAAUCUUGAUAACUUUUAUAGAGAAAAAGUAGUUAAAUGGGCUAUUCAAGAAGCGCGUUUAAAACGAAAGAAAACUCGACUUCAGCAUGCUGAAAUUUGAGCUGAAAUUUCUAAAAGGCAGACAGCGAAACACCAAAAAUUAGAUGAAAAAGAAAAAAGAAGGUUAGAGCGACAAUUAUCUCCACUAUCUGUUCGUGAAAUUCAAAAUUUAUUUAAAAACUUGUCUACUAAGCAAAUUGAUGAUUUAAAUGAUGUUAUGUGUGAAAGAAAUGUUGGGAGGAAUCUCUGCCACGAAUGGUAUGAUACAGAUUCAACAAUGACGGUCUUGUAUAAUGGCAGAGUUGAAAACUUAAAAAGACAACAAAAGGCAUCUUUUACACAAUUUCUUACUGGGCUCCAAAUGAAACUUAUACAGAAGCUGUUGACCAUAGCAUGAAAAAAUUCCAGCUGGUUUCUGAUGUUGUAUCAGGCGAGUUAGUAUUUUUGUAAUUUCUUAUCCUAUCUUAUUGUGGAACUUGCAAAAUUAAUAUACAGCAAGAAUUAGAAAUUGCAAAAUAAAGGUUAAACAAGUAGUGGAAUUUUCAUUGUAAAUGUACUGCUAAUAGUGGAACUUGUGAUUUACAGGAAGUAGUGGAACUUGCAAAAUAUAUGUACAGCAAGUAGUGGAACUUGCAACAUAAAUGUACAGCAAGUAGUGGAACUUGCAAAAUAUAUGUACAGCAACUAGUGGAACUUCCAACAUAAAUGUACAGAAUUUUGCAGGCAGUGAAACUUGCAAAAUUAAUGUGCAGCAAGUAGUGGAACUUGCAAUUUUUUUGAUAGACAGUUUUUGGCUUACGUUCACGUCGUGUCCAUUGUUAACAAUGAUUAUUAUACAGUUUCAAUACUGGAAACUUAUCUUAAUCAUUAACUAAAAGCCAAAACAUAUAAUUGUUGUUUGGAAUUAUAUAUAAAUGUAUAAAAAAUUAUUUAGGUCGGAGGGGGGAUUUGACAUUUUCCUCAGCAAAUAUGAAGACUGAUGCAUCUUGUAAUACUACUACUCAAAUAAGGUCAGAGGGGGUAACCGCUACUCCCUUCUUCGAAAAUAAAUACUUUGAUGCAUCUUGUUUUAGUACUACUGUGUUAUGGUUAGAGGGGGUAACUCCCACCCUCUCUGCAAAAAUGAGUACUCUGAUGCAUCUUUUAAUACUACUACUGUAAUAUGGUCAGAGGGGGCGGGAUACGCCCUUUUCUCGUGUCUUUGUGUACAUCACUACUUAUAGUUUUAAA
Hydra vulgaris (swiftwater hydra) is the source of this 2189-nucleotide non-coding RNA. Lineage: Eukaryota; Metazoa; Cnidaria; Hydrozoa; Anthoathecata; Hydridae. The record is from RefSeq and is a predicted model, not a curated record.